RNAcentral lists this unclassified non-coding RNA (175 nucleotides) under uncultured fungus. RNAcentral's name for it is "sequence contains ITS1". The record is from RNAcentral. Lineage: Eukaryota; Fungi.
GUCUGUGUAAAGUGUAUUUCUGACAAACAAGCAAGCGUAAACAUCAGAGCCGAGACCCUGUGCUAAUGUGGGUGGCUACUCUUGAUUAACACGUGAUUAACACGUGAUUAACACAGUUAAUACAAGGGGCCACCUCCGAUUUGUAAUGAUCCUUCCGCAGGUUCACCUACGGAAA